This 497-nucleotide ribosomal RNA is filed under the name uncultured bacterium. RNAcentral describes it as "partial 16S ribosomal RNA". It matches the Rfam family "Bacterial small subunit ribosomal RNA", at positions 28 to 507 of the family's 1533-position model. The record is from RNAcentral.
GAUGAACGCUGGCGGCGUGCCUAAUACAUGCAAGUCGAGCGAACGGACGAGAAGCUUGCUUCUCUGAUGUUAGCGGCGGACGGGUGAGUAACACGUGGAUAACCUACCUAUAAGACUGGGAUAACUUCGGGAAACCGGAGCUAAUACCGGAUAAUAUUUUGAACCGCAUGGUUCAAAAGUGAAAGACGGUCUUGCUGUCACUUAUAGAUGGAUCCGCGCUGCAUUAGCUAGUUGGUAAGGUAACGGCUUACCAAGGCAACGAUGCAUAGCCGACCUGAGAGGGUGAUCGGCCAAACUUGAACUGAGACACGGUCCAGACUCCUACGGGAGGCAGCAGUAGGGAAUCUUCCGCAAUGGGCGAAAGCCUGACGGAGCAACGCCGCGUGAGUGAUGAAGGUCUUCGGAUCGUAAAACUCUGUUAUUAGGGAAGAACAUAUGUGUAAGUAACUGUGCACAUCUUGACGGUACCUAAUCAGAAAGCCACGGCUAACUACGUG